This is a long non-coding RNA of Cynoglossus semilaevis (tongue sole), 658 nucleotides long. RefSeq lists it as uncharacterized. Lineage: Eukaryota; Metazoa; Chordata; Actinopteri; Pleuronectiformes; Cynoglossidae. The record is from RefSeq and is a predicted model, not a curated record. The transcript is spliced from 2 exons.
GACCACGGUGGUGAGGAUCAGAGUCAGGACCAGUUCAGCCAGAGUGGCCCGGCCCAGGUCGGUGGUCCCCGGGUGAAGAGCUGCUCCCACUGCAGCCUCGUACAUGCUGGGAGGAAACACAGCCUGGAGGGGGAGGGGGGCGGCACCGAUCAUCCCCCCGAUGAGCUGAGCGACGACGUAGGGCAGCAGCAGCAGCAGCUGCAUCCCUCCACACAGACACACACUGAGAGACACGGCCGGGUUCAGGUGACCACCACUGCCGCAGACAUAGAGGGGAGACGUGAGGGAGCUCUGACAUCAACUGUCACAUGGUACGCAGACGUCAAACAGCAUCAACAUAAAGUCAAAGGUGAUUUAUUUGUCAUGGACAUUUUGUUUAAAGUUCACUGGUUUGUGACAGAAGAAAAGCAGCGCAGCUGAGAGUGAAGCUUUGGGCAGACAGUAGUGAGAGCUGCUGUGAUGUUUGGUUUCAGAUGAGCUGGAGAUGGAGAUGAAGAUGCUGAUGAUGAAGAUGGACACAGGCAGAGACAAUCAGAUCAGAGGGACAGUGAAGGUGGAGAAGCUGAAGGAAGGCAGCCAGAAGAACGAAAGCAAGAAGAAACCAAAAAGAACUUUUAAAGAAAAUGUUUAAAAGGGACAGUUCAGAAAUAUUAAAGUU